RNAcentral lists this unclassified non-coding RNA (339 nucleotides) under Hevea brasiliensis (rubber tree). The record is from RNAcentral. Lineage: Eukaryota; Viridiplantae; Streptophyta; Magnoliopsida; Malpighiales; Euphorbiaceae.
AUUUUAUGAGAACGCUAUCUAUCCCUUCCCCAAAUAACUUUUUAUAGGCGCCAGCUACAAUCGUAAUGAUAUUUAAAUUAUUUGCACUGCAAUAUUAUUUAUUGUAGUGCAAGUAAUGUAUAACUCCAUCACUCUUUCACAAUUUUAUGGGCAACUACAGUUCCUGGACAUUCUUUUGCUAGAAUUGCAGAUUGCAAAUGACUCAUCCGAAUAUUGUGAUGAAAACAUGAUUUUUUUAAGUUUAGGUAUUAAUUUGUGUAGCUCUUAAACAAAAAAAGAAGGAAAUACCCUCAGCAGUUAUUUUGUAAUUUUAAUUAUUCUAUUUCUUGAAGAUGAACG